This is a non-coding RNA of Durio zibethinus, 293 nucleotides long. Lineage: Eukaryota; Viridiplantae; Streptophyta; Magnoliopsida; Malvales; Malvaceae. The record is from RefSeq and is a predicted model, not a curated record.
CUGUAGCAUGCUGCAGCAGUGGUUGAUGAUUAACUAUAUAUCACUGGAGGCAGUCGUAAUGGUUGAUUCCUGUCUGAUAUCCAGGUAUUUGAUCUUAGAAGCUUGACAUGGUCUAGUCUGAAACUGAAGAUUGAUCCUAAUGCCGAUAAAUCAGAGGACUGUGACUUACGGGAAUUUCUUCCGGGCACUUCAGAUCACAGUAUGAUUGAGUGGGAAAAUAAACUUCUUCUUCUUGGUGGGCAUUUGAAGAAUUCUUCUGAUGCCAUGGUAGGUUUGUAUUUCUAAUUGUCAUU